This is a long non-coding RNA of Hydra vulgaris (swiftwater hydra), 2378 nucleotides long. RefSeq lists it as uncharacterized. Lineage: Eukaryota; Metazoa; Cnidaria; Hydrozoa; Anthoathecata; Hydridae. The record is from RefSeq and is a predicted model, not a curated record.
CAAAACAUAACUAUUUAUGUCAGUUGUAACGUAAUUAUGCACUCAUAGAAUGCUCGUGUUAAAACUUAAAGACACAUAGUCGUAAAGACAAAGACAACAAUAACAUUAAUUUUGCUCUUAUAAUUUAUUGCUAUAUUAUUGUAUUGAAAUGCGACAAAGUAAAGUGUUUAGAAAUUUAACUGGUGCAUAAAGAUUUUCUAUUGAUAAUGUCAUGAAAAAUCUGGCCAUACAACCAUGUUUAGCAAACUGUCUGCUUCUGCAAACGGAUCGCGUACAUUUGAGCAUUGUUUUGAAACUUAAUAAAUGUCACAAAAAACGAAAUUCACUAGUUUUUUAGACUCAACAGUCUGUUAAUACAUAAAAAAGAAGACAGAAGACUUAAUUACAACUUUAUUAAAGAACAUGAUUUGAAGUUUCAAGGCGAAAAGUUUGAGAGUCAAUUUCAUUUAUUUAUUUCUGAUUAUGGUAAGAGCUGGACUCGAAGUAAACAAACCGUUUAAUUCGAAUCUCUUACCAUAAUCAUAAUAAAUUAGUAAUUAAUUUUGUCCAGUUAUAGUGAAUUCUGGCCCACUGUGCAGCAUCAAAUAGGAUUCAAAGCGAAUAUCCGAGUGCUUUUAAGUUAAUAAACAGACAAAAUGUGGUUGGUCAUCCAAAAGUUCAUUUUGUUUCAUCAUGACUUGACGAUGGUUUCGGUAUAGUUUAGGGCGAUAUGAAAGAAUUUAAAAUUAUAAUGUUACAAAAGAACUUAUUUUAAUUUAAAUGCAAACAACAUCACAAAGCUUGGAUGAGAGAAAAUGUUUUUGCUUCACUUACAGAAAAAAAAGGAUUCUCAAACAAAUUAAAAAAUAUCAGCAAUAUGUUGAGGAAGAGAUGAAUUACAAAGUAUUAAAAAGGGAAUUGUAGCAAUGGUUGAUUUAGUAUUAGUUAACAAAGCCGACGGUGACUUGCUUCCUGCAGCAAAGAGGAUUCAAAGUAUUACAUGAGUGCUCUUAAGUUAAGUUUUUAAGUAGGCAAAUUGAUGUUUGGCAUCCAAAAGUUCUUUCUGUUUCAUCAUUACUCGACGAAGGUUUUGGUAUAGUUUGGGACGAAGUGAUAGAAUUUAAAAAUACAAUGCUACAAAAAACAUGUUUUAAUUUAAUUGCAAACAACAAUAAAAUGCUUGGAUGUGGAGAAUUUUGAGAGAAUAUGUUUUUUCUUAUUUUACAAAAAAUGAAAAGUUCUCAAACAAGUUAAAAAACAUGAAGGUUUUGGUACAGCUUUUUUCUGAAAUGACAGAGUUUAAAAUAUAAAAAAAUUUUUCUAUGCAUACAACGAUACAAAGUUUGAAUGUGGAGAAUUUUGAGAGAAAUUAUUUUUGCUUUUAUUUAUUUUUAUUUUUCGCUUCAUUUACAGAAAAUGAAAAGGUUUUCGAAUAAAUUAAAAAACAUUAACAAUUUGUCGAAGAAGAGAUGAACUACAAGGUAUUAAAUAGAGAGUUGUAGAAAUGGUUGACAAAUCCGACGGCGACUUGCUGUCUUCAGCAAUGAGGGUUCAAAGCAAAUAUACGAGUGCUCUUAUGUUAAUAAGCAGACAAAAUAAGGUUUCCCAUUCAAAAGUUCAUUCUGUUUUAUCUUCACUUCACUUGGUUUUCGUAUAAUUUCAAUUGAAAAGACAGAGUUUAAAAAUAUAAUGCUUUAGUUUAAACGCAAAAAACAAUACAAAACAUGGAUGUGGAGCAUUUUGAGAGAAAAUAUUUUUUUUUUUAUAUACAGAAAAUGAGAAUGUUUUAAAACAAAUUAAAAAGCAUUACUAGUACAUCGAGGAAUAGAUGAAUUACAAAGUAAUAAAAGAGGAAUUGUAGAAAUGGUUGAUUUAGUAUUAGUUAACGAAGCCGACGGCGGCUUGCUUUCUGCAGCAUGGAGGAUUCAAAGUCAUAUUCGAGUGCUCUUAAGUUAUUAAGCAGAAAAAUUAAUGUUUGGCAUUUCAAAGAUCAUUCUGUUUCAUCAUUAUUCGACAAAGGUUUUGGUAUAGUUUGGGCCGAAAUGACAGAGUUUAAAAAUGUAAUGCUUCAAAAAAACCUAAUUCAUAUUUUAUGCCAUAGAUUAUGGACAUCAAUGAACAUUUUAUUUAUAUAGUAAUAUAUAGACUAUGUUAUCUUCGUAAUGGUUUAUGUUACAAAAACAGUAAAAAUAGGUUAAUUAUAGAAAGUUCACAUUUUAUGAUUUAUUAUUCCACAAAGUUUCAUCAAUACAGUAAAUCAUGGAAAUGACGUAAUAUUCUUUUUAAGUGUGUGAUCUAUUAAAUGUUUCAUCAAUGUGUAAUGUGAUGCGUGAUCUAAAAUCUUACAACGAAUUGUAUUCUGUUAAAAUUAUUUUUUUAAAUUUACAAUUUUUUUUUAA